GGCCAGACUCCUACGGGAGGCAGCAGUGGGGGAUAUUGCACAAUGGGGGAAACCCUGAUGCAGCGACACCGCGUGGGUGAAGAAGCGCUUCGGCGUGUAAAGCCCUAUCAGUGGGGAAGAAAAAGGACGGUACCCAAAGAAGAAGCACCGGCUAAAUACGUGCCAGCAGCCGCGGUAAUACGUAGGGGGCAAGCGUUAUCCGGAAUUACUGGGUGUAAAGGGAGCGCAGACGGCAGUGCAAGUCUGGAGUGAAAGCCCGUGGCUUAACCACGGGACUGCUCUGGAAACUGUGCAGCUAGAGUGCAGGAGAGGCAGGCGGAAUUCCUAGUGUAGCGGUGAAAUGCGUAGAUAUUAGGAGGAACACCGGUGGCGAAGGCGGCCUGCUGGACUGUAACUGGCGUUGAGGCUCGAAAGCGUGGGGAGCAAACAGGAUUAGAUACCCCAGUA
RNAcentral lists this ribosomal RNA (447 nucleotides) under uncultured bacterium. Its description in RNAcentral is "partial 16S ribosomal RNA". It matches the Rfam family "Bacterial small subunit ribosomal RNA", at positions 329 to 792 of the family's 1533-position model. The record is from RNAcentral.